RNAcentral lists this ribosomal RNA (2168 nucleotides) under Clostridioides difficile. Its description in RNAcentral is "partial 23S ribosomal RNA". It matches the Rfam family "Bacterial large subunit ribosomal RNA", at positions 1 to 2199 of the family's 2925-position model. Lineage: Bacteria; Bacillati; Bacillota; Clostridia; Peptostreptococcales; Peptostreptococcaceae. The record is from RNAcentral.
UGGUCAAGUUAUUAAGGGUGCAGGGCGGAUGCCUUGGCACUAGGAGCCGAUGAAGGACGUGAUAAGCUGCGAUAAGCUUCGGGGAGUUGCACGUAAACUUUGAUCCGAAGAUUUCCGAAUGAGGAAACUCACUUAGAGUAAUGUCUAAGUAUCAUUAAGUGAAUACAUAGCUUAAUGAGGGGAACUCAGGGAACUGAAACAUCUAAGUACCUGAAGGAAGAGAAAGAAAUUCGAUUCCGUAAGUAGCGGCGAGCGAACGCGGAUUAGCCCAAACCAAUAAAGUUUUCUUUAUUGGGGUUGCGGACAUAUCAUAACGAAGAGGUAUCGUAAUUGAAGAGGUUUGGAAAGACCCACCACAGAAGGUAAUAGUCCUGUAUGUUAAACGAGAAGACUUUAGAUAUGAUCCAGAGUACCACGGGACACGUGAAACCCUGUGGGAAGCAGGAGGGACCACCCUCCAAGGCUAAAUACUACCUAGUGACCGAUAGCGUAUAGUACCGUGAGGGAAAGGUGAAAAGAACCCCGGGAGGGGAGUGAAAUAGAACCUGAAACCCUGCACUUACAAGCUGUGGAAGCACAUUUCUUGUGUGACCGCGUACUUUUUGUAGAACGGGCCAACGAGUUACGUUAAGUAGCAAGGUUAAGCACUUAAGGUGCGGAGCCGUAGCGAAAGCGAGUUUUAACUGAGCGUUCAGUUACUUGACGUAGACCCGAAACCGGGCGACCUACCCAUGAGCAGGAUGAAGCGAAAGUAAAAUUUCGUGGAGGUCCGAACCCACGAGCGUUGAAAAGCUCGGGGAUGACUUGUGGGUAGCGGUGAAAUUCCAAUCGAGCCCGGAGAUAGCUGGUUCUCCCCGAAAUAGCUUUAGGGCUAGCCUCAAGGUGAGAGAUACGGAGGUAGAGCACUGAAUGUCCUAGGGGGUAUUGCACCUACCGAAGACUAUCAAACUCCGAAUGCCGUCAUCUUAUACUUGGGAGUCAGACUGUGGGUGAUAAGAUUCAUAGUCGAAAGGGCAACAGCCCAGAUCGUCAGCUAAGGUCCCUAAAUGUAAGUUAAGUGGUAAAGGAUGUGGGAUUGCACAGACAACCAGGAUGUUGGCUUAGAAGCAGCCACUCAUUCAAAGAGUGCGUAAUAGCUCACUGGUCGAGUGAUCCUGCGCCGAAGAUUUCCGGGGCUAAAACUUACUACCGAAGCUACGGCAUCAGUAAUGAUGGGUAGGGGAGCUUCCCAUACGGGUUGAAGCAUGACCGUAAGGACAUGUGGACAGUAUGGGAGUGAGAAUGUUGGCAUGAGUAGCGAGAUGUGGGUGAGAAUCCCACAGGCCGUAAACCCAAGGUUUCCAGGGGAAGGUUCGUCCGCCCUGGGUUAGUCGGGACCUAAGCUGAGGCCGAAAGGCGUAGGUGAUGGACAACAGGUUGAUAUUCCUGUACUACCGAUAACCGUUUGAGAGAAGGGAUGACACAGUAGGAUAAGCUAAGCACACUGUUGGUUAUGUGUGCCAAGCAUUGAGGCAGUCAAAGUAGGCAAAUCCGCUUUGAUAAUGCUGGGAUGUGAUGGGGAGCGAAAUUUAGUAGCGAAGUAGCUGAUUUCACACUGUCAAGAAAAGUCUCUAUCGAGGUUAAAGGUACCCGUACCGCAAACCGACACAGGUGGGUGAGGAGAGUAUCCUAAGGCCAGCGAGAGAACUGUUGUUAAGGAACUCGCAAAAUGACCCCGUAACUUAGGGAUAAGGGGUGCCACCAUCAGGUGGCCGCAGAGAAUAGGCCCAAGCGACUGUUUACCAAAAACAUAGGUUUCUGCUAAGUCGCAAGACGAUGUAUAGGAGCUGACGCCUGCCCGGUGCUGGAAGUUAAGGGGAUCUGUUAGAGCAAUCGAAGCAGUGAACUUAAGCCCAGUAAACGGCGGCCGUAACUAUAACGGUCCUAAGGUAGCGAAAUUCCUUGUCGGGUAAGUUCCGACCCGCACGAAAGGCGUAACGAUUUGGGCACUGUCUCAACAACAGACUCGUGAAAUUGUAAUUCCGGUGAAGAUGCCGGAUACUGCGACAGGACGGAAAGACCCAUGGAGCUUUACUGUAGCUUGACAUUGGGUCUUGGUACUACAUGUACAGGAUAGGUGGGAGCUUUGAAACCAGGACGCCAGUUUUGGCGGAGCCAUCCUUGGGAUA